AUUGAACGCUGGCGGCAGGCCUAACACAUGCAAGUCGAACGGUAACAGGAAGAAGCUUGCUUCUUUGCUGACGAGUGGCGGACGGGUGAGUAAUGUCUGGGAAACUGCCUGAUGGAGGGGGAUAACUACUGGAAACGGUAGCUAAUACCGCAUAACGUCUCAAGACCAAAGAGGGGGACCUUCGGGCCUCUUGCCAUCGGAUGUGCCCAUAUGGGAUUAGCUAGUAGGUGGGGUAACGGCUCACCUAGGCGACGAUCCCUAGCUGGUCUGAGAGGAUGACCAGCCACACUGGAACUGAGACACGGUCCAGACUCCUACGGGAGGCAGCAGUGGGGAAUAUUGCGCAAUGGGCGCAAGCCUGAUGCAGCCAUGCCGCGUGUAUGAAGAAGGCCUUCGGGUUGUAAAGUACUUUCAGCGGGGAGGAAGGGAGUAAAGUUAAUACCUUUGCUCAUUGACGUUACCCGAAGAAGAAGCACCGGCUAACUCCGUG
This 490-nucleotide ribosomal RNA is filed under the name uncultured bacterium. RNAcentral describes it as "partial 16S ribosomal RNA". It matches the Rfam family "Bacterial small subunit ribosomal RNA", at positions 30 to 507 of the family's 1533-position model. The record is from RNAcentral.